AUCUGAAGGUGGCAUCAGUUGUCUUAAAAGCACCAUAAAUGUCUCGAAUUUUUUCUUCCAUAGAUCCACCUUACCUUACCAUCGAUAAUUUCGAGGACUGUCUGGCUUCUGAUGAUGUUCUGGUGCACUUCUUUAAUGAGUUCCUCCGUCUACCUUCUUUCCCUGAGUGUGUACAGUACAACAAGGAGACUGGUGUGUUUGAGGUGGUCAGUGAUGCAACGGAGGCUCUAUCUAGGAGGAUCAGGUCAGACCUGCAGUACUUUCAAUCACAACCUUUCACUGACCCAACAGAGCUGGCUGCUAGACCCAUGGUGGA
Coregonus clupeaformis (lake whitefish) is the source of this 316-nucleotide long non-coding RNA. RefSeq lists it as uncharacterized. The record is from RefSeq and is a predicted model, not a curated record. The transcript is spliced from 3 exons. Lineage: Eukaryota; Metazoa; Chordata; Actinopteri; Salmoniformes; Salmonidae.